CACUAGCGUAUAUUAAAAUUGCUGCCGUUAAAAGGCUCGUAGUUGAAUAUCUGCCAUUAGUAGCCUGGCCCGAUUGUUAUCAAUUGUGUCGCCAGUCGUGUUGUGGUCUUAGGGCCGCAGCUGCGUUUUGCUCUUUUGGCAUAAUUCAGGAAAGCUUCUCGAUCGUUUUAUCGGUUGGGAAGCAGCUCCUGAUCAUUUACUUUGAUAAAAUUAGAGCGAUCAAAGCAGGCUUAUGUACAUGAAUGUAUAAGCAUGGAAUAAUAAAAUAGGACUCUGGUAUGGCGCGCAGUAGGGCUUGCUUUACAGUGUGCCAGUUCUAUUUUGUUGGUUUUGGGCCGGAGUAAUGAUUGAUAGAAACAUUUGGGGUGCUAGUAUUCCAAGGCUAGAGGUGAAAUUCUAUGACCCUUGGGGGACUAACUACAGCGAAAGCAUUCACCAAGCAUGUUUUCUUUGAUCAUGGGCCACAGUUGGGGAUCGAAGACGAUCAGAUACC
Molecule: ribosomal RNA, 493 nt
Filed under: uncultured eukaryote
Lineage: Eukaryota
Description: bacterial SSU rRNA
Rfam family: Eukaryotic small subunit ribosomal RNA
Source: RNAcentral